RNAcentral lists this ribosomal RNA (468 nucleotides) under uncultured bacterium. RNAcentral's name for it is "partial 16S ribosomal RNA". It matches the Rfam family "Bacterial small subunit ribosomal RNA", at positions 28 to 507 of the family's 1533-position model. The record is from RNAcentral.
GACGAACGCUGGCGGCGUGCUUAACACAUGCCAGUCGAACGGAAAGGCCCUGCUUUUGUGGGGUGCUCGAGUGGCGAACGGGUGAGUAACACGUGAGUAACCUGCCCUUGACUUUGGGAUAACUUCAGGAAACUGGGGCUAAUACCGGAUAGGAGCUCCUGCUGCAUGGUGGGGGUUGGAAAGUUUCGGCGGUUGGGGAUGGACUCGCGGCUUAUCAGCUUGGUGGUGGGGUAGUGGCUUACCAAGGCUGUGACGGGUAGCCGGCCUGAGAGGGUGACCGGCGACAUUGGGACUGAGAUACGGCCCAGACUCCUACGGGAGGCAGCAGUGGGGAAUAUUGCACAAUGGGCGGAAGCCUGAUGCAGCAACGCCGCGUGCGGGAUGACGGCCUUCGGGUUGUAAACCGCUUUCGCCUGGGACGAAGCGUGAGUGACGGUAAUGGGUAAAGAAGCACCGGCUAACUACGUG